RNAcentral lists this ribosomal RNA (1110 nucleotides) under Triticum aestivum (bread wheat). RNAcentral's name for it is "partial small subunit ribosomal RNA". Lineage: Eukaryota; Viridiplantae; Streptophyta; Magnoliopsida; Poales; Poaceae. The record is from RNAcentral.
AUGCAUGUCUUCAUUUCUCCCCAGUUCGUCCUGCUCGCUGACAUCUUCCAAGAUGCGGAACCAUCACAAGAUCAUUCUCCUACUCCUGGGGCUGGGAGGCAAUGCAUCCUGGGUUCUCAGCUUGCUGCAGCAUCAACAUCAUUCUCAGAUCAUUCUCCUCUCUUGCUACCAAAUGCAGCAGCUCCAGAGUUCAAAAAACUUUUUGACGCGGAAUUCAGAUUGAGGAAGCAACUAAAACUGAAUGUGAUAGGCUUGGAGGCUAUAGCGAGAUCAAGGAAACGGCAAGCUUCCAGGAUCACAUGGCCAACACAAAUUACCGUCUCGUUCCUGCCACCCCCUGUAAUUUCCUUGCCCCGCCGUGGGCAUUUUGGUCAUUUCACGUGCAGGUUUAUAAAGGGCAGCCGCUCUGUGUUGAACCCUAGACGCCGCCUCCUCUCUCCUCCCCCGCGCGUCCUCUCCCCUUCCCUCCCACGCGCCUCCUCUCCUCCCACCCACAUCGCCGCCGCCGCCGCCCACCGGCUCGAACCGCGCCGUCGGCGGCCAGAUCCGCCGCAACAGAGCCCCCCUCCCAACGACGACGAGCAGCAGCGGAGGAAGGACGAGGAGCGCGACGGCGGCAGCGGCGGCGGGGAGCAGCAGCAGCAGGCCAAGGCGGCGCAACAGCAGGCCUUGGGCUUGAGCGACGUCGACGCCGCCAAGAUAAGCAGUAGAAGAGGAGAGUUCAUCCCCUCCUGGCCCGACACCGGCAGCCAUGGGGCUGCGCCUCCUCUCUGCCUCUGUCAACCCAUCACACGAUUGAUGUUUGUAGCCCUCCCAUGUUUAAAAGCAGAUGAGUUGGAGGUGUCGGAUGUGUCCACGGUGUUGGAUGUGCCUCAGGAUCUGAACGAACAACAGGCUAGGCAUACCACUCUCUUGUCCAGCGCCGUUCUUUGUUUCUAUAUUUCCUGCUACUCGAGCUGGCUCUCUCUCUCCGACGUCUCGGUUUGCAGGCCGCUGCGUGCUGAUGCAUUGAUCAACACCGGUCUGGCGAAACUGAGCUAUAAAUAUGUGAACAUCGAUGAUUGGUGGGCAGAAUUAAGGAGGGAUUACCAAGUAAGGAGAUACACCUGA